AUGGCAAAAUUCUGGUGGAGUGGAUCCCUUGACCGUCGAUCUCUGCAUUGGGUGGCGUGGGAUAAACUUGCCUCUCCGAAAGCUCGAGGGGGUAUGGGUUUUUGCGACAUGAAGUUGUUCAACCUGGCGCUGCUCGGGAAACAUGGCUGGAGGCUCAUUACUAACCUGGAUUCAUUAUGCGCCAGGGUUAUAAAGGGCCGAUAUUUUCCCGAUGGGGAUUUCCUGGAGGCCACGGUGCCGAAGACGUCGUCUACCAUUUGGCGAGCGAUCGUAGCUGUCAGAAAGGCGCUCAACACUGGUCUGAUUAAGAGGGUGGGAGAUGGGACUACUAUCUCCAUUUGUCAUGAUAGCUAG
Molecule: ribosomal RNA, 354 nt
Filed under: Triticum aestivum (bread wheat)
Lineage: Eukaryota; Viridiplantae; Streptophyta; Magnoliopsida; Poales; Poaceae
Description: partial small subunit ribosomal RNA
Source: RNAcentral